Molecule: ribosomal RNA, 305 nt
Filed under: uncultured bacterium
Lineage: Bacteria
Description: bacterial SSU rRNA
Rfam family: Bacterial small subunit ribosomal RNA
Source: RNAcentral
CCCUACGGGACGCAGCAGUGGGGAAUAUUGGGCAAUGGGCGCAAGCCUGACCCAGCAACGCCGCGUGAAGGAAGAAGGCCCUCGGGUUGUAAACUUCUUUUAACAGGGACGAAGAAAGUGACGGUACCUGUUGAAUAAGCCACGGCUAACUACGUGCCAGCAGCCGCGGUAAUACGUAGGUGGCGAGCGUUAUCCGGAAUGAUUGGGCGUAAAGGGUGCGUAGGCGGUCGAUUAAGUCUGGAGUGAAAGGUACCGGCUCAACCGGUAUAGGCUCCGGAAACUGAUGGACUGGAGUACAGGAGAGG